Molecule: unclassified non-coding RNA, 328 nt
Filed under: Penaeus monodon (black tiger shrimp)
Lineage: Eukaryota; Metazoa; Arthropoda; Malacostraca; Decapoda; Penaeidae
Description: uncharacterized LOC119586369, transcript variant X1
Source: RNAcentral
CACCUGUUUGCAUAAAGCAGACAUGAGCACAGUAGCGUGUGUAGGGCCUGCAGUCAGUACAAUGGCUGCAGCCGGAGUUGGACCAGGAAUGGGUGUAUGUGGUGACAGCACUUCCUCAGCACAAGGUGAAGAAUACACAGCUGUUCCAAACUCAGUUGUGAGGGUUAGAGUGCGGACACACUCAGUAAGCAGUGAUGAAAGUGAUAAUGUCUCCAGAGCUUAAGAGAACUUACUUAGUAUGAAUAUGUUUGACACUGUGAUGAAUUUCAUAAUUGUACUUUUAAGAAUGUGAUCAAUAUCACAUGUGUAUAAAAUGAAAUGUAUUUUA